UCCAUAUGUAAUAAGAGAAUUUAUAACAUGACAGUUAGUUGCCAAUUAUAUCUAGCUGACGACACUUGCUGCUUCUACCAGAUGAAGCCAGUGGCGGAAGAAGGGACCCGAUGCCUGGAGUAACUUUGCAGUAUAAAAUUUUGCAUUGUUCGAUUGGUCAAGAUAGAGUGGUUUUAGUGGAAUUCAGCACUUGAUGGUCAUAUCGUCUGUAUUUGCAUGUCCUGGUGAUGGUAGAGAGCUCUUCCACACCUCGUGCACAUAUCAGAAUCCGCGAGGUUUAAAACGACAGGAAGACAGUGUUUUACAUUGUUGAAAGACAAAGAAAAAGAAUCGAUUCCAGAACGUGCCGUCCUGUGUUUGUUGUUUUCGACAGUUGAGGGGAGAGUCCGGUGCAUGCCAGAUACUAUCUG
Mercenaria mercenaria is the source of this 410-nucleotide long non-coding RNA. RefSeq lists it as uncharacterized. Lineage: Eukaryota; Metazoa; Mollusca; Bivalvia; Venerida; Veneridae. The transcript has 3 exons. The record is from RefSeq and is a predicted model, not a curated record.